RNAcentral lists this ribosomal RNA (635 nucleotides) under uncultured Debaryomyces. RNAcentral describes it as "eukaryotic LSU rRNA". The stretch from base 246 to 399 matches the Rfam family "5.8S ribosomal RNA". The record is from RNAcentral. Lineage: Eukaryota; Fungi; Ascomycota; Saccharomycetes; Saccharomycetales; Saccharomycetaceae.
AAGUCGUAACAAGGUUUCCGUAGGUGAACCUGCGGAAGGAUCAUUACAGUAUUCUUUUUGCCAGCGCUUAAUUGCGCGGCGAAAAAACCUUACACACAGUGUUUUUUGUUAUUACAAGAACUUUUGCUUUGGUCUGGACUAGAAAUAGUUUGGGCCAGAGGUUUACUGAACUAAACUUCAAUAUUUAUAUUGAAUUGUUAUUUAUUUAAUUGUCAAUUUGUUGAUUAAAUUCAAAAAAUCUUCAAAACUUUCAACAACGGAUCUCUUGGUUCUCGCAUCGAUGAAGAACGCAGCGAAAUGCGAUAAGUAAUAUGAAUUGCAGAUUUUCGUGAAUCAUCGAAUCUUUGAACGCACAUUGCGCCCUCUGGUAUUCCAGAGGGCAUGCCUGUUUGAGCGUCAUUUCUCUCUCAAACCUUCGGGUUUGGUAUUGAGUGAUACUCUUAGUUGAACUAGGCGUUUGCUUGAAAUGUAUUGGCAUGAGUGGUACUGGAUAGUGCUAUAUGACUUUCAAUGUAUUAGGUUUAUCCAACUCGUUGAAUAGUUUAAUGGUAUAUUUCUCGGUAUUCUAGGCUCGGCCUUACAAUAUAACAAACAAGUUUGACCUCAAAUCAGGUAGGAUUACCCGCUGAACUUAA